AGCGGAGGAAAAGAAACCAACAGGGAUUGCCUUAGUAGCGGCGAGUGAAGCGGCAAAAGCUCAAAUUUGAAAUCUGGCUCUUUCAGAGUCCGAGUUGUAAUUUGAAGAAGGUAUCUUUGGGUCUGGCUCUUGUCUAUGUUUCUUGGAACAGAACGUCACAGAGGGUGAGAAUCCCGUGCGAUGAGAUGAUCCAGGCCUAUGUAAAGUUCCUUCGAAGAGUCGAGUUGUUUGGGAAUGCAGCUCUAAGUGGGUGGUAAAUUCCAUCUAAAGCUAAAUAUUGGCGAGAGACCGAUAGCGAACAAGUACAGUGAUGGAAAGAUGAAAAGAACUUUGAAAAGAGAGUGAAAAAGUACGUGAAAUUGUUGAAAGGGAAGGGCUUGAGAUCAGACUUGGUAUUUUGUAUGUUACUUCUUCGGGGGUGGCCUCUACAGUUUAUCGGGCCAGCAUCAGUUUGGGCGGUAGGAGAAUUGCGUUGGAAUGUGGCACGGCUUCGGUUGUGUGUUAUAGCCUUCGUCGAUACUGCCAGCCUAGACUGAGGACUGCGGUUUAUACCUAGGAUGUG
Molecule: ribosomal RNA, 562 nt
Filed under: Candida tropicalis
Lineage: Eukaryota; Fungi; Ascomycota; Pichiomycetes; Serinales; Debaryomycetaceae
Description: partial large subunit ribosomal RNA
Rfam family: Eukaryotic large subunit ribosomal RNA
Source: RNAcentral